Molecule: small nuclear RNA, 108 nt
Organism: Jaculus jaculus (lesser Egyptian jerboa)
Lineage: Eukaryota; Metazoa; Chordata; Mammalia; Rodentia; Dipodidae
Source: Ensembl
GUGCUCACUUUAGCAGCAGUUUAGUAUAAAAUUGGAAGGAUACACAGAAGAUUAGCAUGGCUCUUGUGCAAGGAUGACAUGUAAAUUAACGAACCAUUCCGUAUUUUU